This 68-nucleotide transfer RNA is filed under the name Marmota monax (woodchuck). Its description in RNAcentral is "tRNA.Ala". The stretch from base 3 to 63 matches the Rfam family "tRNA", at positions 6 to 65 of the family's 71-position model. Rfam says of the family: Transfer RNA (tRNA) molecules are approximately 80 nucleotides in length. Lineage: Eukaryota; Metazoa; Chordata; Mammalia; Rodentia; Sciuridae. The record is from RNAcentral.
GUUGUGGCUCAGUGGUAGAGUGCUCGCCUAGCAAGCGUGAGGCCCUGGGUUCUAUCCUCAGCACGACA